RNAcentral lists this ribosomal RNA (814 nucleotides) under Chloroflexota bacterium. RNAcentral describes it as "bacterial SSU rRNA". It matches the Rfam family "Bacterial small subunit ribosomal RNA", at positions 1 to 830 of the family's 1533-position model. Lineage: Bacteria; Bacillati; Chloroflexota. The record is from RNAcentral.
AACACUUAGAGUUUGAUCCUGGCUCAGGACGAACGCUGGCGGUGCGCUUAAUGCAUGCAAGUCGAACGAGAACAGCGGCUUCGGUCGCUAAGUAAAGUGGCAGACGGCUGAGUAACACGUAAGUAACCAACCCCGGAGCGGGGAAUAAUCAUGAGAAAUCGUGCCUAAUACCCCGUACGUCCCAACAGGCGUUGCCGUUGGGGGAAAGGCUUCGGUCGCUCUGGGACGGGCUUGCGGCCUAUCAGGUAGUUGGUGGGGUAAAGGCCCACCAAGCCAUAGACGGGUACCCGGUGUGAGAGCACGAACGGGCAGAGGGGGACUGAGACACGGCCCCCACUCCUACGGGAGGCAGCAGCAGGGAAUCUUGCGCAAUGGGCGAAAGCCUGACGCAGCGACACCGCGUGGAGGAAGAAGGCUUUCGGGUCGUAAACUCCUUUUCUCGGGGAAGAGAACGGACGGUACCCGAGGAAUAAGCAUCGGCUAACUACGUGCCAGCAGCCGCGGUAAUACGUAGGAUGCGAGCGUUGUCCGGAUUUACUGGGCGUAAAGGGCGAGUAGGCUGCCCGCUAAGUCUCAUGUGAAAUCUCCCGGCUCAACUGGGAGGGGUCAUGAGAAACUGGCAGGCUUGAGGUCAGCAGAGGAAAGCGGAAUUCCCGGAGUAGCGGUGAUAUGCGUAGAUACCGGGAGGAACACCAGAGGCGAAGGCGGCUUUCUGGGCUGUAACUGACGCUGAGGCGCGAAAGCGUGGGUAGCAAACAGGAUUAGAUACCCUGGUAGUCCACGCCGUAAACGUUGGGCACUAGGCGUGGUGGCC